This 499-nucleotide ribosomal RNA is filed under the name uncultured bacterium. RNAcentral's name for it is "partial 16S ribosomal RNA". It matches the Rfam family "Bacterial small subunit ribosomal RNA", at positions 28 to 507 of the family's 1533-position model. The record is from RNAcentral.
GACGAACGCUGGCGGCGUGCUUAACACAUGCAAGUCGAACGGGCCCGCCCCUGUUUUUGGGGGUGGGUUGAGUGGCGAACGGGUGAGUAUCACGUGAGUAACCUGCCCCCUGCUCCUGGAUAACUGCUUGAAAGGGCGGCUAAUACGGGGUGUGCCGGCUGGUCCGCAUGGGCCUGGUCGGGAUAGUUUCAUCUUCGGGUGUUUCGGUGGGGGAUGGGCUCGCGGCCUAUCAGCUUGUUGGUAGGGUGAUGGCCCACCAAGGCGGUGACGGGUAGCCGGCCUGAGAGGGUGGGCGGCCACACUGGGACUGAGACACGGCCCAGACUCCUGCGGGAGGCAGCAGUGGGGGGUAUUGCACAAUGGGCGGAAGCCUGAUGCAGCGACGUCGCGUGAGGGAUGGAGGCCGUCGGGUGGUGAACCUCUUUCUCCGGUGGUGAAGGCCCUGUCCGUUGCGGCGGGGUUGACGGUAGCCGGGUAUGAAGCGCCGGCUAACUACGUG